RNAcentral lists this ribosomal RNA (253 nucleotides) under uncultured bacterium. RNAcentral describes it as "partial 16S ribosomal RNA". It matches the Rfam family "Bacterial small subunit ribosomal RNA", at positions 524 to 776 of the family's 1533-position model. The record is from RNAcentral.
UACGAUGGGGGCUAGCGUUGUUCGGAAUCACUGGGCGUAAAGGGCGCGUAGGCGGCCGAUCAAGUCGGGGGUGAAAGCCUGUGGCUUAACCACAGAAUGGCCUUCGAUACUGUUUGGCUUGAGACCGGAAGAGGUUAGUGGAACUGCGAGUGUAGAGGUGAAAUUCGUAGAUAUUCGCAAGAACACCAGUGGCGAAGGCGGCUGACUGGUCCGGUUCUGACGCUGAGGCGCGAAAGCGUGGGGAGCAAACAGG